UCCUGAUCCAGCCAUGCCGCGUGCAGGAAGACUGCCCUAUGGGUUGUAAACUGCUUUUAUACAGGAAGAAAAAGGUGUACGUGUACACUGUUGACGGUACUGUAAGAAUAAGGAUCGGCUAACUCCGUGCCAGCAGCCGCGGUAAUACGGAGGAUCCAAGCGUUAUCCGGAAUCAUUGGGUUUAAAGGGUCCGUAGGCGGGAUGAUAAGUCAGUGGUGAAAGUCUGCAGCUCAACUGUAGAAUUGCCAUUGAUACUGUUGUUCUUGAGUUAUUGUGAAGUGGUUAGAAUGAGUAGUGUAGCGGUGAAAUGCAUAGAUAUUACUCAGAAUACCGAUUGCGAAGGCAGAUCACUAACAAUGAACUGACGCUGAUGGACGAAAGCGUAGGUAGCGAACAGGAUUAGAUACCCUGGUAGUCUACGCCGUAAACGAUGGUUACUAGCUGUUCGGACUAAUUGUGGUCUGAGUGGCUAAGCGAAAGUGAUAAGUAACCCACCUGGGGAGUACGUCGCCAAGAAUGAA
RNAcentral lists this ribosomal RNA (521 nucleotides) under uncultured Bacteroidota bacterium. RNAcentral's name for it is "bacterial SSU rRNA". It matches the Rfam family "Bacterial small subunit ribosomal RNA", at positions 381 to 898 of the family's 1533-position model. Lineage: Bacteria; Pseudomonadati; Bacteroidota. The record is from RNAcentral.